UGUCUUUUACAAACUGUUAUGUCUGAAGAAAUGGAUGCUGCAGCCACUGAUUGCGCAUCAGAGAGUGACUCUGAGAGAGAGGAGUCGUCUGAAAAAUCCUAUGAAGGAAAUCUGACAGGAGAGAUGUCAGCAAUUCGGGCCAAACAGCCAAUGACCAAGGGAAAGCUGGGACAAAAGAGAGGCUCACACGGUGCCAAAGGAACAAAAAGGUAUUGGUCG
Molecule: long non-coding RNA, 219 nt
Organism: Coregonus clupeaformis (lake whitefish)
Lineage: Eukaryota; Metazoa; Chordata; Actinopteri; Salmoniformes; Salmonidae
Exons: 3
Source: RefSeq, a predicted model, not a curated record